UAAUACAUGCAAGUCGAGCGCGAAAGUCCCGCAAGGGAUGAGUAGAGUGGCAAACGGGUGAGUAACGCGUGGGUGACCUGCCUUCGAGUGGGGGAUAACGUUUCGAAAGGAACGCUAAUACCGCAUGAUAUCCCGCCUUUCAACAGGUGGAGAUCAAAGCCGGGGAUCGCAAGACCUGGCGCUUGAAGAGGGGCCCGCGUCCGAUUAGCUAGUUGGUGGGGUAACGGCUCACCAAGGCAUCGAUCGGUAGCCGGCCUGAGAGGGCGGACGGCCACACUGGGACUGAGACACGGCCCAGACUCCUACGGGAGGCAGCAGUAGGGAAUUGUUCGCAAUGGGCGCAAGCCUGACGACGCAACGCCGCGUGGAGGAUGAAGACCUUCGGGUCGUAAACUCCUUUCGAUCGAGACGAAUGGCCUCCGGGUGAACAAUCCGGAGGAAUGACGGUACCGAGAGAAGAAGCCCCGGCUAACUCCGUGCCGGCAGCCGCGGUAAUACGGGGGGGGCAAGCGUUGUUCGGAAUUACUGGGCGUAAAGGGCUCGUAGGCGGCCAACUAAGUCAGACGUGAAAUCCCUCGGCUUAACCGGGGAACUGCGUCUGAUACUGGAUGGCUUGAGAUUGGGAGAGGGAUGCGGAAUUCCAGGUGUAGCGGUGAAAUGCGUAGAUAUCUGGAGGAACACCGGUGGCGAAGGCGGCAUCCUGGACCAACACUGACGCUGAGGAGCGAAAGCCAGGGGAGCAAACG
RNAcentral lists this ribosomal RNA (746 nucleotides) under uncultured soil bacterium. RNAcentral describes it as "bacterial SSU rRNA". It matches the Rfam family "Bacterial small subunit ribosomal RNA", at positions 49 to 774 of the family's 1533-position model. The record is from RNAcentral.